AGGGUGGGCUGUCUGGGUUCUGGUUGAAGUGAUCCACUGGAAUUUUGGGUGUGAUCAAGAUUUUGUGUCUGCAGCUUAAAGAUUAUGGUCAAGCGUGAUAUUGUGCUGAGAGUGCUUGUGCUUUGGUCUCACCUUUUUCGGUUCUCAUUGUCAUUUGAUAUAGCUUGCUGCUUUGUCGAAUGAUUGUAGCUUAUAUGUAAGGGUUAAUUGCAUAUACUCUCUGUGGUAUCGUUUUUAAAUUGCAACCCCUGUAGUAUACAUUGUUGCAGAUGUGCCCUUGGGUUAAAAUUGUGACUGUUUUUCCCUUGGACUUACUAAUUUCUAGCUGAAGUCAAACAAAAUGAUAUUGGAUUCGGUUUGAUGUUAUUUGGGCC
This is a long non-coding RNA of Asparagus officinalis (garden asparagus), 374 nucleotides long. RefSeq lists it as uncharacterized. The transcript has 2 exons. The record is from RefSeq and is a predicted model, not a curated record. NCBI's taxonomy places the organism in Eukaryota, Viridiplantae, Streptophyta, Magnoliopsida, Asparagales, Asparagaceae.